RNAcentral lists this ribosomal RNA (456 nucleotides) under uncultured bacterium. RNAcentral describes it as "bacterial SSU rRNA". It matches the Rfam family "Bacterial small subunit ribosomal RNA", at positions 28 to 505 of the family's 1533-position model. The record is from RNAcentral.
GAUGAACGCUGGCGGUGCGCCUAAUACAUGCAAGUCGAACGAGAUCUCCACCGUGGAUUUAUUCACAUCGGAGUGACAGUGGCGGACGAGCGAGUAACACGUGAGUAGCUACACCGUACUCAGGGACAACCUGGAGAAAUCCAGGCUAAUACCGGAUGCCCUCGCAAGAGGAAAGAUUUUUCGGUACGGGAUGCGCUCGCGGCCUAUCAGCUAGUUGGUGAGGUAAUGGCUCACCAAGGCUAUGACGGGUAGCUGGUCUGAGAGGAUGAUCAGCCGCGAUGGGACUGAGACACGGCCCAUACUCCUACGGGAGGCAGCAGUAAGGAAUCUUCCGCAAUGGGCGAAAGCCUGACGGAGCGACACCGCGUGGAGGAAGACGGCCCUUUGGGUUGUAAACUCCUUUUCUGGGGGAAGAAGAUCUGACGGUACCCCAGGAAUAAGCCCCGGCUAAUUACG